CUACGGGGGGCAGCAGUAAGGAAUAUUGCACAAUGGGGGAAACCCUGAUGCAGCAACGCCGCGUGGACGAAGAAGGCCUUCGGGUCGUAAAGUCCUUUUCUGAGGGAAGAGGAAGGACGGUACCUCAGGAAUAAGUCUCGGCUAACUACGUGCCAGCAGCCGCGGUAAAACGUAGGAGGCGAGCGUUAUCCGGAUUCACUGGGCGUAAAGGGCAAGUAGGCGGUUGUUUAAGUUAGGUGUGACAUCUCUCGGCUUGACUGGGAGGGAGCGCUUAAAACUAGGCAACUAGAGGGCGGAAGAAGGGGGUAGAACUCCAAAUGUAGCGGUGGAAUGCUCAGAUAUUUGGAAGAAUACCAGUGGCGAAGGCGACCCCCCGGUCCGUGCCUGACGCUGAGAGGCGAAAGCUAGGGUAGCGAACGGGAUUAGAUACCCUCGUAGUC
Molecule: ribosomal RNA, 440 nt
Filed under: uncultured bacterium
Lineage: Bacteria
Description: partial 16S ribosomal RNA
Rfam family: Bacterial small subunit ribosomal RNA
Source: RNAcentral